This 404-nucleotide long non-coding RNA is filed under the name Equus caballus (horse). RNAcentral describes it as "lncRNA (ENSECAG00000050081.1)". The record is from RNAcentral. Lineage: Eukaryota; Metazoa; Chordata; Mammalia; Perissodactyla; Equidae.
CUCAGUGAUUCCUGCACGCCUGCGAGGUUAACCUAGGAAUUCGUCUAAUGAAGGAAGAAAGACGUUAAAGUAACUCGUCCCGCAACUUGUUACCUGAUUAAAUUGUGGUGAGUGGUGAAGGAGAGGAAGCCACAGACACUCAGGGCAGGGGAAGUGGACCAGCUCUGGAGUGUCCCAGGAGGCUCUGUCAGGAGUGAUAUCGAAGCUGAACUUUAAAGAUGAACAGCCUGGACAUUGGCACCUGGAGCUCCUGGUGGGACUCACCCUGCAUGGAAGACUGCCAUGACCACCAGGCCACCCCACUGAGACAGAAGGUGACCUUGACCACCCAUGAGAAUGAUUUAAGUACUGUGGAGUUAUGUAUACUGUACCACUGUUAAAAAUAUGUACAUAGCAUAAAAUUU